This 63-nucleotide transfer RNA is filed under the name Rhipicephalus appendiculatus. RNAcentral describes it as "tRNA-Pro". The record is from RNAcentral. Lineage: Eukaryota; Metazoa; Arthropoda; Arachnida; Ixodida; Ixodidae.
CAGAAAAUAAUAUAGUUUAAGUAUGCAAAUUUUGGAGAUUUGUAGGGAUAAUAUCUUUUCUGA